Molecule: ribosomal RNA, 1141 nt
Filed under: Fidelibacterota bacterium
Lineage: Bacteria; Pseudomonadati; Fidelibacterota
Description: partial 23S ribosomal RNA
Rfam family: Bacterial large subunit ribosomal RNA
Source: RNAcentral
UAGCCCUGUAUGUGAAAAGUGAAUUAAGUGUGCAUCGAAGAGUAGAGCGAGGCACGUGAAACCUUGCUUGAACAUAGGGGGACCAUCCUCUAAGGCUAAAUACUAAUUACCGACCGAUAGUGAACCAGUACCGUGAGGGAAAGGCGAAAAGAACCCCGGCGAGGGGAGUGAAAUAGAACCUGAAACCGUAUGCGUACAAGCAGUAGGAGCCCGUUUACGGGUGACUGCGUACCUUUUGUAUAAUGGGUCAGUGAGUUACUUUUAGUGGCAAGCUUAACUUUCUUAGGGAGGCGUAGGGAAACCGAGUCUUAAUAGGGCGUUUAGUCGCUAGGAGUAGACCCGAAACCAGGCGAUCUAUCCANNNNNNNNNNGGAGAUAGCUGGUUCUCCCCGAAAACUAUUUAGGUAGUGCCUCAUGUAUUACUCUCGGGGGUAGAGCACUGUUUCGGCUAGGGGGACAUCCCGUCUUACCAACUCGAUGCAAACUCCGAAUACCGAGAAGUACAAUCAUGGGAGACACACAGCGGGUGCUAACGUCCGUUGUGGAAAGGGAAACAACCCAGAUCGCCAACUAAGGUCCCAAAAUUACAGCUAAGUGGGAAACGAAGUGAGAAGUCAAAGACAGCCAGGAGGUUGGCUUAGAAGCAGCCAUCCUUUAAAGAAAGCGUAAUAGCUCACUGGUCAAGUCGACUUGCGCGGAAGAUUUAACGGGGCUUAAGCUGUAUACCGAAGUUGCGAAUGCUUAUUUUUAAUAAGCGUGGUAGGGGAGCGUUCUGUAAGUCAAUGAAGGCAUAUUGUGAGAUAUGCUGGAGAUAUCAGAAGUGAGAAUGCUGACAUGAGUAACGAUAAUGCGGGUGAAAAACCCGCACGCCGAAAACCCAAGGGUUCCUGCGCAACGCUAAUCGACGCAGGGUUAGUCGGUACCUAAGGCGAGACCGAAAGGUGUAGUCGAUGGACAACAGGUUAAUAUUCCUGUACCGCGUAUACUGCGAUGGGGUGACGGAGAAGGCUAGGUUUACCGGGUGUUGGUUAUCCCGGGGAAAGUAUGUAGGUAGGAAGCUUUGGAAAAUCCGGGCUUCUAUUACUGAGGUACGAGACCAUUGAUUUUUUAAUCAAGAAGUAACUGAUGCCAUGCUUCCAAG